UUGCUACUUCAUCCGUCCAAUAAAAGAUGUCUCAACUUUAACUAAAUUUGAAUGUAUAUAUAUCAAGUCAUGUCUAGAUACAUUUAAAUUUUGACAAAUUUUAGACAUCUUUUAUUGGAUGGAGAGAGUACUAG
Brachypodium distachyon (stiff brome) is the source of this 134-nucleotide non-coding RNA. NCBI's taxonomy places the organism in Eukaryota, Viridiplantae, Streptophyta, Magnoliopsida, Poales, Poaceae. The record is from Rfam.